UUGUUGGUAAGGUAAAAGCUUACCAAGGCUUCGAUCAGUAGCUGGUCUGAGAGGACGGCCAGCCACACUGGGACUGAGACACGGCCCAGACUCCUACGGGAGGCAGCAGUGGGGAAUUUUGGACAAUGGGGGCAACCCUGAUCCAGCCAUGCCGCGUGAGUGAAGAAGGCCUUCGGGUUGUAAAGCUCUUUCAGCCGGAACGAAACGGUUACGGUUAAUACCCGUGACUACUGACGGUACCGGAAGAAGAAGCACCGGCUAACUACGUGCCAGCAGCCGCGGUAAUACGUAGGGUGCGAGCGUUAAUCGGAAUUACUGGGCGUAAAGCGUGCGCAGGUGGUUUUGUAAGUCAGAUGUGAAAGCCCCGGGCUCAACCUGGGAACUGCGUUUGAAACUACAAGACUAGAGUGUGGCAGAGGGGGGUGGAAUUCCGCGUGUAGCAGUGAAAUGCGUAGAGAUGUGGAGGAACACCGAUGGCGAAGGCAGCCCCCUGGGUCAACACUGAGGCUCAGGCACGAAAGCAUGGGGAGCAAACAGGAUUAGAUACCCUGGUAGUCCAUGCCCUAAACGAUGUCAACUAGUUGUCGGGCCUUUACGGGCUUGGUAACGUAGCUAACGCGUGAAGUUGACCGCCUGGGGAGUACGAUCGCAAGAUUAAAACUCAAAUGAAUUGACGGGGACCCGCACAAGCGGUGGAUUAUGUGGAUUAAUUCGAUGCAACGCGAAAAACCUUACCUACCCUUGACAUGUAUCGAAGCCCGCAGAAAAGCGGGGGUGCCCGAAAGGGAACGAUAACACAGGUGCUGCAUGGCUGUCGUCAGCUCGUGUCGUGAGAUGUUGGGUUAAGUCCCGCAACGAGCGCAACCCUUGUCAUUAAUUGCCAUCAUUUAGUUGGGCACUUUAAUGAGACUGCCGG
Molecule: ribosomal RNA, 916 nt
Filed under: uncultured bacterium
Lineage: Bacteria
Description: bacterial SSU rRNA
Rfam family: Bacterial small subunit ribosomal RNA
Source: RNAcentral